Long non-coding RNA from Suricata suricatta (meerkat), 356 nucleotides. RefSeq lists it as uncharacterized. The transcript has 4 exons. The record is from RefSeq and is a predicted model, not a curated record. NCBI's taxonomy places the organism in Eukaryota, Metazoa, Chordata, Mammalia, Carnivora, Herpestidae.
CUGUGUAUGCAUCCUGUUAUCCCGUCGCAGUGUUGCAGGAGUUCUGCUAUUAUGACGAUCACUUCCAGCAAAAUCACGAGUUACAGUGAGGGACGAUCGGGCUGCUUUUCCAUGGACACCAUCUGUACUUGAAGGAAAGACUAAGGGACUCUGAUGUUCAUGCAUCAACUCAUUCAAACGGUUGGAGGAGCCCAGGAACGAUGCUGAGAACCCCAGAAGAUGAGUUUUCAGCAAGGGAUGCUGAGGCGUGAGCAGCUAAGAGAAGCAGACACAGAAAGAAGGUGGCCGUCUGCAAGCCACAGAGUCCUGUCAGCAGAUACUUUGAUCUAGGACUUCCCAGCCUCCAGAACUCGGAG